GAUCCGCGUCCGAGACGUUGCCGGCGCUGUCCAUGGUCCUCGACCGGUACACACCAUCUGUGAUUCUUCUAACAAGUGUAAGCAAAGGUGCAGAAGCUAAUGAUGUACUUGCACAUCAGCAUAUGCUAGAAGAGGGGAUGCUAUACAGU
Molecule: long non-coding RNA, 149 nt
Organism: Archocentrus centrarchus (flier cichlid)
Lineage: Eukaryota; Metazoa; Chordata; Actinopteri; Cichliformes; Cichlidae
Exons: 3
Source: RefSeq, a predicted model, not a curated record